AGGAAAUAUGCAAAAUCAGGUAAAUAUUCUCAUUCUGACAAAACCUCAAAACACUUUGAAACCUUGUUGACUUGAACAUCAGAGUGUUUUCGCAGGUACACCACCUCGCAUUGGCGAAGAACAACCGUCUACCGCCGCAUCAGCUCCGUAACAACAACCCCCUUCCUCCGUCUAUACAAAUCAGUGUAUCCUUUUCAGCUUGCAAAAUAAGUUUGACUACUUAGAAUGUUUGUUUAGACAAGACAACCAUUUCUAAAUUCUAAUGUACAUGCAGAUCUUGGUGGUCUCAUUUCAUAAGCUAAAGUGGUCUAUACAACCAUUUCUAAUGUACAUGCAAUGCAGAUCUUGGUGGUCUCAUAAGCUAAAGUGAUUUAUACAACCAUUUCUAAUGCUCAUGGAUUACAAUAUAGAAGAAAAAAAUAGAUUAUGAAGCUUGCACAGUUACUGAUUUAAUAUGCAAAGAAAAUCUUCUAGACGAUGAAAGCGAGUUCAAUCCAAUUGUCCACCACUGAAGGAAGCAAAAAAAGUUCAACAAUCUAAUGCUUAACACCUGCAUAAAAUGUAGAAGAAAAACACACCUAGAAUAUUAAUAUGUGCAGUUGAAUGUUGAUAUUCAAUGUUAACCAAAAUGAAUGACUAGUAAGUAUAUUGUUGUUAGUUUUCUCACCAUUAUCAUUUUCAUGGUUAAUAUCGUCACCAGGGCCGGCUCCUAUAGCCUAUGCAAGCUAGGCUACAAGACAAGGUCUUCAACUUAAAGGCCUAAAUUUAACCAAAAACAUUAAAUGGAAAUGUUUAAGGGCUUAAAUUUUAAUCAAAUAUGAAAUUAUGAACUUAAUUAUAUCAACAAAUCCCAAAUUUUUAGGGCUUCAAAGUGUUUAAGGGCUCAAAUUCCAACAUAGCUCACCAAGCCUAAGCUUGUGCAAAGGUGAGUGCUAGCUUUUUUUUUUGGGUCAAUUCCACCGUCUACUAGCGGGAGGCUCAAUUGAAGUCAGAGUAAAACCUAGUAUGAACCGACCCAA
Molecule: long non-coding RNA, 1019 nt
Filed under: Medicago truncatula (barrel medic)
Lineage: Eukaryota; Viridiplantae; Streptophyta; Magnoliopsida; Fabales; Fabaceae
Description: long non-coding RNA (MTRU_LNC006058)
Source: RNAcentral